Schistocerca americana (American grasshopper) is the source of this 152-nucleotide long non-coding RNA. RefSeq lists it as uncharacterized. Lineage: Eukaryota; Metazoa; Arthropoda; Insecta; Orthoptera; Acrididae. The transcript is spliced from 3 exons. The record is from RefSeq and is a predicted model, not a curated record.
CGCAUCAGCUGUGUGGAUCUCGCAAGAAGAAGUUCAGCAGGAAAAUACCGAAAGUCCAGGUUUACCCAUCCAAUGUGAAAGUAGAAGAGGAUAUGCAAGGGGGUAUGAAUCCGGAGGGAGCACUAAAGGCCAAAGUAGCACAACAAAUCCAC